UACGUAGGUGGCAAGCGUUAUCCUGAAUUAUUGGGCGUAAAGAGCGCGCAGGUGGUUGAUUAAGUCUGAUGUGAAAGCCCACGGCUUAACCGUGGAGGGUCAUUGGAAACUGGUCGACUUGAGUGCAGAAGAGGGAAGUGGAAUUCCAUGUGUAGCGGUGAAAUGCGUAGAUAUAUGGAGGAACACCAGUGGCGAAGGCGACUUUCUGGUCUGUGACUGACACUGAGGCUCGAAAGCGUGGGGAGCAAACAGGAUUA
This 257-nucleotide ribosomal RNA is filed under the name uncultured prokaryote. RNAcentral's name for it is "partial 16S ribosomal RNA". It matches the Rfam family "Bacterial small subunit ribosomal RNA", at positions 524 to 780 of the family's 1533-position model. The record is from RNAcentral.